Non-coding RNA from Coffea arabica (coffee), 266 nucleotides. Lineage: Eukaryota; Viridiplantae; Streptophyta; Magnoliopsida; Gentianales; Rubiaceae. The record is from RefSeq and is a predicted model, not a curated record.
AAGACGCUGCCUCGCUUCUCCAGAGAGCACAUAUCUCUUGGAUUUGUUUUCAGAUGUUACUCUGAGCUCCCAAGUCACUGCAAUGAUUCUAUUUCUUUAGUUCCCAGCCUUUUUAAGGGAAGAUAUUUUUCUAGGUUGUGUCUAUUCUCCGGACAUCUAGGUACCGUAGCAAUGGUGCCGAAUUUAUUGGGUACCAUUCAUUAUUAAUUGUUUCCCUAGAACUGUUGUUGUAUCUUUGAAUUAAAUUAAAUUUAUUGUUUCUUGAA